GAACCCAGGGUGCCCUUCCACCCAGGUACAUUCCUAGCCCAUUUUUUAUUUGGGGCAGAGUCUUGCUAAAUUGCUAGGCGGAACUAAAAUUUGCAAUCCUCCUGCCUCAGGUGCUGGGAUUGCAGGGCUGCACCACCAGGCCUGGCUCUGGCCAGGAUGAAUUUUAAAGGUCACCGAUUCAGAGAGAGCAGCCUGAAGAGCAGGCGCGCGGUAUGGCGUGUGAGGCCCUGCGUGGGGGCCUCUGGGGAAGCCGGUGAGUCAGCCGCCUUCUCUCUAAUAGCGUUCACCUCCGCGCGAGGAGUAAUAGGAGAGGCCGUCAUUAGCCAAGGUGUGAGUAACAGGGUUCAAACUCAAGAGGGACUCGGUGUGUUCCGCUGGGGAAGGGUGAGCUGGGGCUCUUCCCUGCCUGCGGAGGAGGCGCAGACCGCGGAGUCCAAGCCCAGGGACGGCGAUGAGUCCCUUAGACACCGGCCCAGGACGGAGACCCACAGGAACACGUCUGGGAGACCCUUCACCAGUAAUGGGGUCCUGCCUGCUGCAGGGUCGGGGGUGCAAGGUCGCGUGUCCCUGGCUUAUAGGGACGCUGAUUCUCGGGCUUAAAGUCUCUGUCUUCCCUCCUGGCAGUUCACCUGGGCCACCUUUGCACAGGUUGAGGAAUGUGGCGUGGACACAGAGCGAACAUGAGCCUGCUCUUCUGCACUCCCUUUCGUCAGAGCGGAGGUGGUGCCGGGAGGAGGAGCCAUCUGUGGAGUCCAAGCAGCAAUGUGUGACUAGCAUUUGCAGGCGCCGUGUGCGUGGCCAGAAACGGACACUACGUGGCCCUGCUUGGGCCUCUAUGGUGGCAGGGCCUAGGGCAUGGAGAAAUGAGCCAGAGAAGGGGCCGUGAAAGUCUUGAAAGUAGACUUGACAUUCGUGGAGGAGCUUGGUGUGCUGAGACGCAGGACCACCAGCAGUCAAGGCUCCUGAAAAGGACCUGGAGCUUUUAGAAAAGUGGAAUCAGCAUCAGUCUGAACAAAUGGGCUUGGGGCCCAGCAACCAGGUUGGACAACUCAGGACGACAGAGACUUAGGUCUGUGUGAUCUCAAGGGCCGAGCUCAACCUGGAGUCUGCGGGGGAAGCCUUGAACAUUCCCCCACAUAUUUCUGGCUUCCGUCCAGCCUAGCGUAGAAAGUGGUGGUCAGGAUGUUCUGAACACCAGCCUCUCUCCACCCGAGCC
This 1216-nucleotide long non-coding RNA is filed under the name Heterocephalus glaber (naked mole-rat). RNAcentral's name for it is "lncRNA (ENSHGLG00100040564.1)". The record is from RNAcentral. Lineage: Eukaryota; Metazoa; Chordata; Mammalia; Rodentia; Bathyergidae.